This 7394-nucleotide long non-coding RNA is filed under the name Arabidopsis lyrata. RNAcentral's name for it is "long non-coding RNA (ALYR_LNC003369)". The stretch from base 4947 to 5167 matches the Rfam family "MIR854 microRNA precursor family". The record is from RNAcentral. Lineage: Eukaryota; Viridiplantae; Streptophyta; Magnoliopsida; Brassicales; Brassicaceae.
GUUCAUUUGCUUUGUCUGCAUGCUUUGGUUCUGAGUCCCCGCUUUCAAACCUCUCCUCUAGCUUGUUCUUAAUUGUUUGCUUGAGGGCAAGCAAAGACUAAGUUUGGGGGAGUUGAUAUGUCUAUAUUUCACUUGUUUUGAGCAUCCAUUUAGCAUCACUUUAUCAUCAUUUCGUCAUUGUUUCAUACCAUUCUUCAUCAUUUGUCAUCACUUUGCAUGAUUAGGGUAGUUUUGCAUGCAUGUUGCAUAUUUGAGUUGUUUCAGGUGCUUCGGGGCUAUUGGUGUUCAGAAAGAGGAAAAACAUAGCUGAAAGUCACAUUUGGACCAUUCUGCUCGAUCACCAGUAGCAGAGAGGGAAGCAGUCAGCUCAGCAGACCAUCAGGAGUGUUCUGCUCGAUCACAGGGCAGUCCAUCCUGCCAGUUCACAGUUCUGCUCGAUCACAGGGCAGUCCAUCCUGCCAAUUCACAGUUCUGCUCGAUCACAGGGCAGUCCAUCCUGCCAGUUCACAGUUCUACUCGAUCGCAGGGUUGAAGAAGCAGUCCAGACCGUGCCACCAACCAAUCUACUCGAUCACCACCUCCCCGCAGCCACUACCAACCAAUCUACUCGAUCACCACCUCCCCGCAGCCACUUGAUCACAAGCUUCACAGUCUUCUCAGAUCCCAACUCAACUCGAGCACAUACUCGACCCAAAUGCUCGAUCACGACAUGCCCAGAGCAAGAAAUCGCAAAGGCGCCAACUUUAUUCAACCUCUCUACUCGAUCACAAGGGUCGAGUAUCUCCGUAAACCGCCUUGUGAUUUAGGGUUUCCUAGUAUUUGCUAUAAAUAGGUUGUUUCUCAUAAUUUUCAGUCUAAGUUUUAUUCUGUCUAAGUUAUUUUAUGCAGAACAAUUAGUGCUUUCUUCAUCUUUGUAAUCCAGAUUUCUCUUAAUCUAUUGAGUAUUUGCUUUUGAUUUCUUCUACAAAGUUGUUCAUCUUGUUGAGAUCUUGCUUGUAUGAAGUUUUUAUGCAUUUCUGGGUUUAUGUUCAUGUUCAUGAGUUUUGAGUAGUGAUUAGGGUUCUUGAGGAUGGGUUAGAGUAGUUUAGAAUCCUUGAUCUGCUAGGUGGUUGAGUUUGAUUGGUAGAUCCCUUCUGGAUUAAUUGUUCUUAAUGCUGAUUGCUUUCUGAUCAACUGGAAUCUGAGCCCAGACAUUUCCGCACCCAAAAGGUGUUCGAUGAAAUGUCUGAACCACUAAUUCCAGAGAUUCGUGGCUCUGUACCAAGGUAUUGGUUACAGGGAGCGUUUUGGCUUAGACUUGUUGUUUCGUAAUGCCUGUUAGGUUAGCUCUCGUCAAUGGUGAUUGAGUCUGGGACUAGCUUUGCUUGAGGAUCUCUGUUGCGGUAGCACUUUGAUUUGGCUAUUGAACUUGUUGUCUAGGGAUAGUUUGUUGAGCAUGUUAACCACCUGUUAGAUUAAGGAGACUUCACUACUCGAUUACCCCAUCCUCGGGAAUUUCUCUUCCAAUUGAUUUCUUUGUUCACAUCGCUAUUGAUUGCUUGAUCUCGUUACUUGUUGCUUAGUUUUUGCAUUUUUACUUAUUUCACUUGAAGUACUCGACCACACCCAGCGGUUUGGAAACGAACUGUGUGGUAGAGUAGUUUUAUUGCAGUUUCCAUUUGGUACUCGACCUGAUACUCGACCACACCCAGUGCUUGGCAUCAGGCUGUGUUGGUCGAGUAUAUUAGCUAUUUCUGUUAUAAUUUCUGUUUUUGCAUGAUCACUUAGGAUUGUUAACAACAUCAAAACCUGGUCGAGUAUAUUAGCUAUUUCUGUUAUAAUUUCUGUUUUUGCAUGAUCACUUAGGAUUGUUAACAACAUCAAAACCUGUUAUUGCAUGAUAGUGAUUUAAGGAUAAUUGAUCUUAGUUAAAAUCUUACUAUCAUGUAGCCACCUUGGUUCUGAAUGUAACUGAUUUCAGCAGACUGAUCAUUCUCCCCCUCUUGGACUUGGAAUUGUUCAUCUUCAGAGACGAAGUGAACAUGCGUUUGUUGCACUUGCAGGAGCUUGUCAAGUUUGUCAUUGAGAGCUUUCAUCUCUUUGCGGUGCUUGUCAUCAGUGUCAGUACUAGUGCGGAUGCUUCUGUCAUAAUCCUCGUUGUAAUUGCCAUCCGACUGAGCUAAGUUUUCAACGAGCUCCCACCCUUCUCCAACGUCUUUGUUGAGGAAGUUUCCAUUGGAAGCGGUGUCAAGCAGCAUCCUUAUCUUGGGAAGGACGCCUCUGUAGAGUGUGCUGAGAAGAGAAGCUAUUCCAAAGCCGUGAUGAGGGCAUUUGGUCUGAUAACCUUUGAAGCGCUCCCAUGCAUCACAGAAAGUUUCAGCAUUCUUCUGAGUGAAUCCGGAUAUCUCAUUCCGGAGUCUUGCUGUUCUGGAGUUGGAGAAGAAUUUAGCCAAGAAGGCUUUUUUGCAGUCAUCCCAGGUCGUGAUUGAACCCCGGGGUAGCGUCUUUUCCCAUAGAUGGGCUUUGUCUCCAAGUGAGAAUGGAAACAAGCGAAGCUUGAAACCAUCUUCACUUACUCCAUUGAUUUUAGUAAGGCCACAGAGCCUUUCAAACUCGUCAAGAUGAUCAAGCGGAUCCUCCAUUGGCAAGCCGUAAAACUUGUUCCCCUGAACCAUUGCAAUGAGACCGCUCUUGAUCUCAAAGUUGUUGUUCUGGACUGGUGGAGGAACAAUUCCAUGACGCUGGUUGUGAUUGUGUGGGAAGUCACCAGCACCAAUGUUGUUGGGUUGGUCUUGGUCAUCUACAAUAUCAGCCAUUGUGUCUGUUGCUGUUUGUUCUCUUAGUUGGCGAGCGAUACGGUCGAUGUUAUCGUUGAAAAGGAGAUUCUGAUUUCCUCUUGACCGUGUAUGCAUAUAACAGGUAACAGCAAGGCUUUUAGCAGACCAAUCAAAGAUGAGUCUGUAAAGCUGGUUGCUGUGAGUACCUGAAACACAGACAGAAAAACACAAUGUCAGUAUCUUGUGUAACAAAAACGAACUUGAUCUUAACGAUUCUAAAGAUCUCAAAUAUAGCAAACAAACACUAAACUGGCAACGGCGCCAAAUUGAUAAUAGAUUUUUCACUCAAUUAAACCUAAAACACUAUCGUGUCGUUGUAGUAUUUUAGGGUGUCAAUCCAAUCUAGUGUGAUGCAAACAGAUGAGAUGUGAUCAGAAUUUGCUAAGUCAAGCCAAGCAGAGAGUUGUUGUUUUCUAACAGUCCUAAUGAAAAAUAACAGAAAUGAAAUGAAACUGAAAUGCAAACUAGCAAUAGCAGGAAGUUGAAUAACAAAGCAGGUAAGAUAAAGGCAAUCAAAUGGAUAAGAGAUUCCUAAGGACAGGGUAAUCGAAUAGCGUGGUCUCCUUAAUCUAUUUAGACGGUUGACAAAACUUCACAGAAGCUAUCCCUUGACAACAAGUUCAAAAGCAAAUCAAUUCACCACCGUGAUAGAAAUUCUCAAGCAGAGCUAGACACAGACCUAAUCACCAUUAGCGAUCUCUAACUAAGCAGGCAAUAUCGAAUCAACUUGUUAAAGCCAAUACCCGCUCUAAACGGCCAAUAUCUUGGGAUAGAGACGAGUAUCUCUGGAAUUAGUGGAUCAGACAUUCCAUCAAACACCUUUUGGGUGUGGGAAUAUCUGGAUUCAUUUUCCAGUUGAUCAGAAAGGAACAAGCAGUAAGCGCAACUAAUCCAGAAGGGAUUCAAACAAUCUAAACUCAACCAUCUAAAUCGACUAAGACAACCACGACUACUCUAUCCCAUCCUCAGAAAUACAAUUCACUACUCAGACAUAAUCAAAAACAAUAGCAAUGAAACGAUUGAAAACAUGAUAACAAGAAAUGAUAAAGACUGAAACAAAAACUGAAUUAUAAAAUACUUGAAAGCAAAUACAAAGUCGCAGGAAGAACACACUGCGGCUACGAAAACAAGUCUAGGUAAAAACUGAAAAAUAAAGACUGGAUGCCCUAGGGAAAACCCUUAGAGGCUGCUUAUAUAAGCAAAAAAAAAAGUUAAAUAAGGAAAGUUCGGGAUAGUGGUCUUCACAACGAGACUUUGCGAUCAAGCAUCUGAUGGGCUGAAAUGGGCUUCCCUGUGAUCGAGUGAAACUGAUCAAACUGGGCUUCGGGAACCCCGUCUUGCGAUCGAGUGGUCUGUAGUGAAGACGAGAUGGAAUGGUCCAGCGACCUUGCGAUCGAGUGGUGCGAUCGAGUAGAUGACGUGAGGUGGUGAUCGAGUGGUGUAGAGUGGGUGAUCCCUCCGGGCUUGCGAUCGAGUGAAACUGAGCUGCUGGCUUCUCCGGGGUUGUGAUCGAGUGAUAUGUCCUUCAUGACAGCUUCUGCUCGAUCUUGCGAUCGAGUGGUUUCUUCUGAAAUUGCUCCGGGGUUGUGAUCGAGUGGUUUUGCCCUUCAUGACAGUUUCUGGGGUUGCGAUCGAGUGCUUUGCUCUGUCAGGGCUCCGAGGUUGCGAUCGAGUGCUUUGGCUGAGGGAGUGAUUGAGCGUUCUGAAUUUCUGUUCUGUUUCUCCUCUGUUUGAACUCCAAAAGCAUCCAAAGUACCUGAAAACAACCAAAUAUGCGAUGCACAUGCAAUCCUAAUGCAAAAACGUCCUAAGUAUGCAAAACACACUAAAAAGACCACUAAUGAGAUGAAAUGUGACUGAAACAAUGACAAAGUGAUGAAGAAUGAAUGCUUAAAUCAUGCAAAUUAUAGACAUAUCAGAUGGUUGGCGACAUGUAUAGAUAUCGCUUUGAGCACCCCACAACCAAGAGAGCCAACAUCCUUCUUCCCCGCCCUGAGCUUACACGCAUCAUAGAGGGAUAUAACAUCAACUUUGAACCAUCAGUUGACGAUCUGUACGUCGAGAUAGCUCAGCCAACGCACGAGGCUGUUCCUGCAGAAGAAGAAGCUGCAGAUGAUGAGAUUGAUGAGAUGGAAGUAGAUUGGGAAGAGCCAUAUGAUACAAGUAUGUAUCAUUUCAGUGAACACGUGGCUCCAGCAAGAGAGAGUAAGAGCUUGAGUGAAGCUCACAAAAACCAGAGCCUAUUGCAGAAGUGGUGCAAGAAGCAGGACAAGUACAUCAACAAGUUCAUAAAGGGUAUGAAGUCUCUGAAGGCCAUGGUUAGCUGCUCGUCUUCCAGCACAGCAGUACCACAAGGACAGCCUCCUCAAGACAUGCCUUCGAGGAGAUAUGAUGAGCCUGAGCCUAGUGCGCAUGAAAUCUCUCCAGUCCCUGCAAGGCAUUCAUCACACGAGCCUCGAGAACACAAGAGGAGAAAGAAGGCUGUACUUGCCCGUUCCAACAGCACAACGCUGCUAAUGCGCUCCAGGAGCACACUCGACCGCGAUGCUGGCCGCAGAAGGAGAAGGGAAGUCGAGCACCAACAGGAAGGAGAAGCUGAAACGCAACAAGGAUGAUCACCUGCAAUCUUACUUCAACUGAGGUAAGCACUACCAUUCACCAUUGUCAAAUACCAUCUUCUGUUUAUUUUGUUUCUGUGUUGUUUUUGUCCUGAGUACUCUCUUCCAAGUUUGAUCACACAGAGGACUGUGUGAUUCGAGUUUGGGGGAGGGCUCAGGAAGUAUCUGAUGUGUUUGCUUUGUUCUUGCAUUGUACAUAUUGUCUGCAUUCAUCUAUGUUAUUGAAAAAACCCUAAAAAUUUGAAAAAUUUCUGAAAAUGAUUUCACAAAAAUAGAGUGUUCAUGUAGUUGCAUUUUCAUUUUAAGAUUGAGUCUAGAAGGUUUCAUAUAGGAUUGUUGCAUUUGCAUAGGGGAUGAUGAUGAGAUAACCUUGUAAGCAUGCUCAUUUACUGAAUGAAUUCAAUGCCCUCGUUAUUAGUUGUUUAAUGCUUGUGAUAGAACUUGAAUUAAAACUGCACCAUAUUUGGAAUUCACAACUUGACUCUCUUGUUUUAAUUGAAGCAUGCUUGAUGAGAUUCUUUUCCCUAUCUAUUAGAACCUAAACUUGACUUGUAAUUAUCAUGUCUUUGCAUUGUUGUUGAACUUGUGGCUACCAAUACACAUACUUGGAUUUUCUUUCACCUUCUACCACUCUUGCUAAUCCAAGUAGCUGAUUCCCAUCAUUGGAACAGUUUCCCCCACCCUGAACCUAACCUUUCUUUCAAGCCCUGAAUAAAUUUGUGUGUGUGUGAGGCCUAUUUCCGGAUUGAGCUUGGUAGAAAGUGUUAGGUAUGAACCGACAAGAAUGGUAUCCCAUGUAGUUCUAGUCCACGCUUUUUGGGCUAGAUAGGACUAGGUGGGAGUUUUACUUUGGGUUUGGGAUUGUGUUUGGAAAGAAAAUGAGAAAGAAAGACAAGUGUUAUUGUUCUUAGGAGAUGGAGGUGAAACAGAAAAGAAUAUCAUGUUAGUCUAGUAAAGAAUUUGGGAAGCUUGAAAAAAUAAAAGAAGUUAAGCUCUAUGCAAAGUAAAAAGAAAGGCAAAAGCCUAGAAAUGUCUUAAGUCAUGAGAUGAGAAGAAGAGCCUUAGUUGUAAAAGAAAGUCCCAAUCCGCUAGAAAGUCUAAAAGAAAACCUCUCCUUAGAACAAAACCAAAAAGAAAGAAUGGGUUGAUCCAAGAGAUUAUUGAAACAUGCCUUGAGUGCAAAGGGUAGAAUUAGGAUCAUUUCUGGGGUUUAGAGAUAGGACCAUCUAUGGAAUUCUUCAACAAUGUUUUGCUUGAUUCAUAGUUUGAGCUUAAUCAAUGUUAAAGGGAAUUGAUGAUCUGAAGGUGUGUGUAGAUUGGAACAAAUGUUAGGUUGUCUUGUGAUGAAUAUGGCUAAGGUUUUUAAGUAGAGUUUGGUCUCUAUGCAUUCCACAAUUACUAACUUGGACAUUGAGUCCAUUCGCUUUGUCUGCAUGCUUUGGUUCUCAGUCCCCGCUUUCAAACCUCUCCUCCAGCUUGUUCUUAAUUGUUUGCUUGAGGGCAAGCAAAGACUAAGUUUGGGGGAGUUGAUAUGUCUAUAUUUUACUUGUUUUGAGCAUCCAUUUAGCAUCACUUUAUCAUCAUUUCGUCAUUGUUUCAUACCAUUUCUCAUCACUUGUCGCCACUUUACAUGUUUAGGAUAGCUUUGCAUGCACGUUGCACAUUUCUGUGGUUUUCAGGUGAUUUGGAGCUACUAAUGAGCAGUUAGUCGAGCAGUCAGUCGAGCACUCUCAGCAGCCAUCGUCUCAAGACACUCGAUCACAUCUUCUCAUCACCAUGUGGAUUACGCGAUCGAGCAUCACCAGCAGAUUCUCCACAGAACCACUCGAGUUCGCAGUCGAGCACCCUCUCGAUCACCAAGUCGACUGACCACUCGAUAACCAUCUCAACAUCAUGCCCGAACACAUACUCGACCAACAUGGUCGAGUACCUUCCACCAACCUACUCGACCAAGCACUCG